ACGCUGGCGGCGUGCGUAAUACAUGCAAGUCGAACGCUUUGUGGUUCAACUGAUAUGAAGAGCUUGCUCGGAUUUGAAGAUGAACAGUGCAAAGAGUGGCGAACGGGUGAGUAACACGUGGGAAACCUACCUCUUAGCGGGGGAUAACACUUGGAAACAAGUGCUAAUACCGCAUAAUACUGAUAACCGCAUGGUUAUCAGUUGAAAGAUGGUUCUGCUAUCACUAAGAGAUGGUCCCGCGGUGUAUUAGCUAGUUGGUAAGGUAAUGGCUUACCAAGGCAAUGAUACAUAGCCGAGUUGAGAGACUGAUCGGCCACAAUGGGACUGAGACACGGCCCAUACUCCUACGGGAGGCAGCAGUAGGGAAUCUUCCACAAUGGACGAAAGUCUGAUGGAGCAACGCCGCGUGUGUGAUGAAGGGUUUCGGCUCGUAAAACACUGUUGUAAGAGAAGAAUGACAUUGAGAGUAACUGUUCAGUGUGUGACGGUAUCUUACCAGAAAGGAACGGCUAAAUACGUGCCAGCAGCCGCGGUAAUACGUAUGUUCCAAGCGUUAUCCGGAUUUAUUGGGCGUAAAGCGAGCGCAGACGGUUGUUUAAGUCUGAAGUGAAAGCCCACAGCUUAACUGUGGAAGUGCUUUGGAAACUGGAUAACUUGAGUGCAGUAGAGGAGAGUGGAACUCCAUGUGUAGCGGUGAAAUGCGUAGAUAUAUGGAAGAACACCAGUGGCGAAGGCGGCUCUCUGGACUGUAACUGACGUUGAGGCUCGAAAGUGUGGGUAGCAAACAGGAUUAGAUACCCUGGUAGUCCACACCGUAAACGAUGAGUGCUAGAUGUUUGAGGGUUUCCGCCCUUAAGUGUCGCAGCUAACGCAUUAAGCACUCCGCCUGGG
RNAcentral lists this ribosomal RNA (891 nucleotides) under Weissella minor. Its description in RNAcentral is "bacterial SSU rRNA". It matches the Rfam family "Bacterial small subunit ribosomal RNA", at positions 33 to 877 of the family's 1533-position model. The record is from RNAcentral. Lineage: Bacteria; Bacillati; Bacillota; Bacilli; Lactobacillales; Lactobacillaceae.